RNAcentral lists this ribosomal RNA (422 nucleotides) under uncultured bacterium. Its description in RNAcentral is "partial 16S ribosomal RNA". It matches the Rfam family "Bacterial small subunit ribosomal RNA", at positions 360 to 774 of the family's 1533-position model. The record is from RNAcentral.
AAUUUUGGACAAUGGGGGAAACCCUGAUCCAGCCAUCCCGCGUGUGUGAUGAAGGCCNNNGGGUUNUCAAGCACUUUUGACAGNGAANAAAUAGCAGGGGCUAAUAUCCUCUGUGAAUGACGGUACCUGUAGAAUAAGCACCGGCUAACUACGUGCCAGCAGCCGCGGUAAUACGUAGGGUGCAAGCGUUAAUCGGAAUUACUGGGCGUAAAGGGUACGCAGGCGGCUAGGAAAGAAAGAUGUGAAAUCCCAGGGCUCAUCCUUGGAACUGCAUUUUUAACUACCUAGCUAGAGUAUGUCAGAGGGGGGUAGAAUUCCACGUGUAGCAGUGAAAUGCGUAGAGAUGUGGAGGAAUACCGAUGGCGAAGGCAGCCCCCUGGGAUAAUGCUGACGCUCAGGUACGAAAGCGUGGGGAGCAAACA